RNAcentral lists this long non-coding RNA (508 nucleotides) under Homo sapiens (human). Its description in RNAcentral is "non-protein coding lnc-FGL1-2:4". Lineage: Eukaryota; Metazoa; Chordata; Mammalia; Primates; Hominidae. The record is from RNAcentral.
UAGUCACACUUUAAAAAUCUGGGCAAAAUAUAUGUCCAGCAAACAGCCAAGAGCCAGAUGUAUUAAAUGAUCAUAUUUACGCUCCCAAAAGAAAAUUCAAAAUGAAGCAUGUUGAUAAACAUUUUGGAUGUGAUGUUGGAGAACAAUUGCAACCUGCCCAGAUGUUCAGCUCGCCCGAAGGCUGCCUCCUUGGUGACUUGUUUCAUCUUGAGUCUAGAGAGUCCAGGCUGGGGAAGAAAACCACCUCCAGCCGGCCGUUCCAGCACAGCCCCACUGGCCAAAGCACACACUCACACAAUGAAAACACUGAAACUUUUUCUUAAAACAAAUUUUUCUCCCAUUGUCAUGGUUCUGUAUAUUAACACAAAAUUUUCUUUUCUCAUAGGAGAGAUUAUUUCAUUCAAUAUUUUUUAUGAAUUAUUUACCAUUUGUACUUCAAUAGUAGCAGAAGACAAAAAAGGUCAUCUAAUACAUGGGAGAAACAUGGAUUUUGGAGUAUUUCUUGGGU